GAUUAUGGCUCAGAACGAACGCUGGCGGCGCGUUUAAGCAUGCAAGUCGAGCGGCAAGGGCCUUCGGGCCCCUAGAGCGGCGGACGGGUGAGUAACACGUGGACAAUCUGCCCCCCGGCCCGGGAUAGCCCAGGGAAACCUGGAUUAAUACCGGAUGAGACGGGACCCGCGAUGGCGGGACCCGGGAAAGGCGCUGCGGCGCCGCCGGGGGAUGAGUCUGCGUCCCAUUAGCUAGACGGCGGGGUAACGGCCCACCGUGGCGACGAUGGGUAGCCGGCCUGAGAGGGUGGACGGCCACAUUGGAACUGAGACACGGUCCAGACUCCUACGGGAGGCAGCAGCUAAGAAUCUUCCGCAAUGGGCGAAAGCCUGACGGAGCCGACGCCGCGUGAACGAAGAAGGCCGUGAGGUUGUAAAGUUCUUUUCGGGAGGGGGAACAACCGUGGCAGGGAAUGGCCGCGGGAUGACGUGAAUCCCGGAAUAAGCCCCGGCUAACUACGUGCCAGCCGCCGC
RNAcentral lists this ribosomal RNA (513 nucleotides) under uncultured bacterium. RNAcentral's name for it is "bacterial SSU rRNA". It matches the Rfam family "Bacterial small subunit ribosomal RNA", at positions 15 to 518 of the family's 1533-position model. The record is from RNAcentral.